This 468-nucleotide ribosomal RNA is filed under the name uncultured bacterium. Its description in RNAcentral is "partial 16S ribosomal RNA". It matches the Rfam family "Bacterial small subunit ribosomal RNA", at positions 28 to 507 of the family's 1533-position model. The record is from RNAcentral.
GACGAACGCUGGCGGCGUGCUUAACACAUGCAAGUCGAACGGAAAGGCCCUGCUUUUGUGGGGUGCUCGAGUGGCGAACGGGUGAGUAACACGUGAGUAACCUGCCCUUGACUUUGGGAUAACUUCAGGAAACUGGGGCUAAUACCGGAUAGGAGCUCCUGCUGCAUGGGGGGGGUUGGAAAGUUUCGGCGGUUGGGGAUGGACUCGCGGCUUAUCAGCUUGUUGGGGGGGUAGUGGCUUACCAAGGCUUUGACGGGUAGCCGGCCUGAGAGGGUGACCGGCCACAUUGGGACUGAGAUACGGCCCAGACUCCUACGGGAGGCAGCAGUGGGGAAUAUUGCACAAUGGGCGGAAGCCUGAUGCAGCAACGCCGCGUGCGGGAUGCCGGCCUUCGGGUUGUAAACCGCUUUCGCCUGUGACGAAGCGUGAGUGACGGUAAUGGGUAAAGAAGCACCGGCUAACUACGUG